UCUCCAUUAAAGCGGAGAUACAUCGCGUGACACAGACAAAUACACUGCCUCACGUCCGUCCAGUGGGCUCGGUCCGUUGUACUUUCUGACGCGGGGAAGGGACGUGCCACACACGGCGUGCAGAGUUUUCGUGCAGAGUGGGACAUUGUUUUUCUGCUCCACGGGCCCGGUGGUCUGCCCAGAAAGCUCAGUACGGGCUGGACCUGGUGGCGAGGACACAGGUUAGUCGCAUGUGCUGCGUCUCGCACGAGUCCCAUUUCCGUCUUGAUGGGCGAAGAACAAGCUGAACUGCGAGAACAGCGCCGGCGUCCGGGCUGCUUCCUGUCCCGGCUGGCUAUGCUCAUGCUGAUUCCCGGAGCGACGACGGGGGCGGGGAUGGACUCUGGAUCGAUCUCGACGGCAAGGGAUCCAGAGGUGCGCCGCGCGCGAGGAGCCGUGCGUAUUGGGGGAGGGCGGUAACGCUUUGCCCGAAUCGGCCGUAGGCUCGCCGGAUUCGGCCGUCGGAGCGGUCUCGACGGACAUGCGUCGGUUGGAUCAAGGAGGGGGUUUGACUGAUGUCCAGUCCUCCGGGGCUUCCUGCAAGACCUUCAGUUCUGGGGGCGGAGAUGUGGCGUCCGCAAAACCCCGGGUGCGCGACUCGUGCCGUCGUCUCGCACACCUCCAUCGAGUCCAGCCUCCGCAGUGCCACGGCGGAAUCCUGCACGACAUUCAGUUCUGGGGCCGUGGGCGUGUCGUCGGCACGGGUCUGCGACGAGAUGCCGGCGGUCAUCUCGAGCUGCGCCGUGCAGUCCUUAGGCCACAACGGCCUGGCUACGGGCAACACCACCAUCCGCGUUGGCUGCAAGAGCAGGUAGUUACUGGUUUUCUGUCCCUUAGGCCAAUGGUGUAAUUUCUUGUUCAGUCAUCCGAGCAACUAAUAUAUGUUUCAUUAGGGUAGGACUCUGAAUCCAAUUGGCCUGGGGAAACAGUAGAAAUCUGAAUCUACCCCUGGCCAAAAAGUUCUUACAUGUUAUCCUUAAGCCCUGCCCAGUGCUUGGUUAGCAAAAAAAAUACUUACAGUAAAAA
Triticum aestivum (bread wheat) is the source of this 1065-nucleotide long non-coding RNA. RefSeq lists it as uncharacterized. Lineage: Eukaryota; Viridiplantae; Streptophyta; Magnoliopsida; Poales; Poaceae. The transcript has 2 exons. The record is from RefSeq and is a predicted model, not a curated record.